Molecule: ribosomal RNA, 477 nt
Filed under: Cryptosporidium parvum
Lineage: Eukaryota; Apicomplexa; Conoidasida; Eucoccidiorida; Cryptosporidiidae
Description: SSU rRNA
Rfam family: Eukaryotic small subunit ribosomal RNA
Source: RNAcentral
GGGGAAUUAGGGUUCGAUUCCGGAGAGGGAGCCUGAGAAACGGCUACCACAUCUAAGGAAGGCAGCAGGCGCGCAAAUUACCCAAUCCUAAUACAGGGAGGUAGUGACAAGAAAUAACAAUACAGGACUUUUUGGUUUUGUAAUUGGAAUGAGUUAAGUAUAAACCCCUUUACAAGUAUCAAUUGGAGGGCAAGUCUGGUGCCAGCAGCCGCGGUAAUUCCAGCUCCAAUAGCGUAUAUUAAAGUUGUUGCAGUUAAAAAGCUCGUAGUUGGAUUUCUGUUAAUAAUUUGUAUAAAAUAUUUUGAAUAUUUAUAUAAUAUUAACAUAAUUCAUAUUACUAUAUAUUUUAGUAUAUGAAAUUUUACUUUGAGAAAAUUAGAGUGCUUAAAGCAGGCAUAUGCCUUGAAUACUCCAGCAUGGAAUAAUAUUAAAGAUUUUUAUCUUUUUUAUUGGUUCUAAGAUAAGAAUAAUGAUAAU